AUAAGUAUAUAUUUUUUUUUGUUGAAUAAAAAUUAUUCAUAUGUUUAUAGAGAUUAAAUGUUAAACGAUUUUAAUAUAUCUAGUUUUUUUAGAAAAAAAUUUAAUUUUAUUUUUUUAUAUUAUUUAAUUUUAUGGUAAAUUGAAUAAUAAAAAAUUUUUAUUUUUUAAGGGAUGAGCUUUAAAGAAGAUUAUAUAUAAUUAAGUAGUAAGUUUUAGUAAGUAGAAUUAUGAGUUUUUAUCUUUAUUAGUGUUUUAUAACUAAUUAAAAAUUUAAUAAAAUUUAUAUUAAAUUUAUUUAUUUUAUAGAAAAUAAAGUUAUAAUAAAAAUAAUUUUUUUAUAAUGAUAAAAUUAGUAUAAUUUAAAUGUUUAAAUAUUAAGUAUUAUUAAGGUUAAUUAAAGGAAUUCGGCAAAUAAAUUUUUCACCUGUUUAUUAAAAACAUGGCCUCUUGAUUAUAAUUUUAGGUCUGACCUGCCCAAUGAGUAUUUAAAUGGCCGCGGUAUUUUGACCGUGCAAAGGUAGCAUAAUCAUUAGUUUUUUAAUUGAAAGCUUGAAUGAAAGGUUGGAUGAAAAAGUUACUGUCUCUAAUUAAAUUUUUUAGAAUUUUAUUUUUAAGUAAAAAAGCUUAAAUAAAUAUUGAAGACGAGAAGACCCUAUAGAGUUUUAUAUUUUUAAUUUAUAGGGCUUUAGUAUUAUAAUUUUAUAAAAGAUAAAAUAUUUAGUUGGGGUGAUUGAAAAAUUAAAAUAACUUUUUUUGUAUUAAAACAUUAAUUUAUGGGUUAUUGAUCCUUAAUUAGAGAUUAUAAGAUAAAAUUACCUUAGGGAUAACAGCGUAAUUUUUUUUGAGAGUUCAUAUCGAAAGAAAAGAUUGCGACCUCGAUGUUGGAUUAAAGUUUAUUUUUGGUGUAGAAGCUAAAAUAUUAGGUCUGUUC
Molecule: ribosomal RNA, 931 nt
Filed under: Lignyodes bischoffi
Lineage: Eukaryota; Metazoa; Arthropoda; Insecta; Coleoptera; Curculionidae
Description: partial 16S ribosomal RNA
Source: RNAcentral